GUGGGGAAUAUUGGACAAUGGGCGCAAGCCUGAUCCAGCCAUGCCGCGUGAGUGAUGAAGGCCUUAGGGUUGUAAAGCUCUUUUGUCCGGGAAGAUAAUGACUGUACCGGAAGAAUAAGCCCCGGCUAACUUCGUGCCAGCAGCCGCGGUAAUACGAAGGGGGCUAGCGUUGUUCGGAAUCACUGGGCGUAAAGCGCACGUAGGCGGACCAUUAAGUCAGGGGUGAAAGCCUGGAGCUCAACUCCAGAACUGCCUUUGAUACUGAUGGUCUCGAGUAUGGAAGAGGUUGGUGGAACUGCGAGUGUAGAGGUGAAAUUCGUAGAUAUUCGCAAGAACACCAGUGGCGAAGGCGGCCAACUGGUCCGAUACUGACGCUGAGGCGCGAAAGCGUGGGGAGCAAACAGGAUUAGAAACCCUGGUAGUCC
Molecule: ribosomal RNA, 425 nt
Filed under: uncultured bacterium
Lineage: Bacteria
Description: partial 16S ribosomal RNA
Rfam family: Bacterial small subunit ribosomal RNA
Source: RNAcentral